Molecule: ribosomal RNA, 465 nt
Filed under: Citrobacter koseri
Lineage: Bacteria; Pseudomonadati; Pseudomonadota; Gammaproteobacteria; Enterobacterales; Enterobacteriaceae
Description: bacterial SSU rRNA
Rfam family: Bacterial small subunit ribosomal RNA
Source: RNAcentral
UGUCGUCAGCUCGUGUUGUGAAAUGUUGGGUUAAGUCCCGCAACGAGCGCAACCCUUAUCCUUUGUUGCCAGCGGUUAGGCCGGGAACUCAAAGGAGACUGCCAGUGAUAAACUGGAGGAAGGUGGGGAUGACGUCAAGUCAUCAUGGCCCUUACGACCAGGGCUACACACGUGCUACAAUGGCAUAUACAAAGAGAAGCGACCUCGCGAGAGCAAGCGGACCUCAUAAAGUAUGUCGUAGUCCGGAUUGGAGUCUGCAACUCGACUCCAUGAAGUCGGAAUCGCUAGUAAUCGUGGAUCAGAAUGCCACGGUGAAUACGUUCCCGGGCCUUGUACACACCGCCCGUCACACCAUGGGAGUGGGUUGCAAAAGAAGUAGGUAGCUUAACCUUCGGGAGGGCGCUUACCACUUUGUGAUUCAUGACUGGGGUGAAGUCGUAACAAGGUAACCGUAGGGGAACCUGC